UCAUGGACUUGAUUCUGGUUUUAUUCAUUCACACACACACACACACACACACACACUGGCUCUUAUCUUACAUUGCAAAAGUGGCUGGAGUUAAUUCAUUAUCUCAGUGUAGCCUCCCUCCCUCCCUCCCCCAUCACAGUCAGAAAUCGUACACAGUCAUUGAACGCCUCUCGGCCUCAUCAGCUGGAGAUAGUCACUAAAUUUCCACAUAUGAUAAAAGACAAGCUCAGGCCACGGCUGGAUCUUAUCUGUCAUGGAGCCGGCUGUUUCACCGACGAUGUGAUAUCACACUGAACAGCGGUGCUCCAUGGAGAUCAGACCACGACUCCCCCUCAUCACCCCCCCCCCAACAUGCCCUCGUUAUUUAUUCAAAUCCAACUUAAUAUAUUUAUGUAUUUAUUUCAAGGGUAGAUGUGCAAUUAAACCCCUCAAAUCAGGAUGACACUGCAUGUGCACAGGCACUUCUAAAAAAAAAAACAAAAAAACAAAGUUCACGCAGAUCAACUAUAGGUUAGUUUCCAACGACAAGCAGCUCCACACAUGCACGCGCACACGCACGCACGACUAUAGCACUGCUGUUAAACCAAGUUCUGCUUUAGGGGACAUUUUCUGCUUCAAGUCUGAGUCAAUGAUUUCCACCUGAAGUAUAAAAACAGUCCACCAGGGGCUGCACUUUCCCCAUUUGUGAACAUCUUAAUGUAAACGUUCUGGUUUUUUUUUUUUUGUUUGUUUGUUUGUUUGUUUGUUUUAAAUUGUCCACCUUGUUUAGCUAAUGUAGUGCUCACCAUUUUCCCUGAUUAGUGACAUAUUGUCAUAUUCCAGUCUCUUGUUAUUCCCGAUGUUGCUUUGCUGAUGCAGACAGACAGACAUGGUGUUGUUUACAGAUCAGAACGCGAUCAUAUAUAUAUAUAUUUUUGUCUGAUUCUGUAAUGUUACUUUUUGGGGCAUAUCCCGGAGGCAGCAGAGACGAGAGCUAAAAAAAAAACAAAAACACCCUCUGUUGACUGAGGUCUGACUCUGAUGACUAUAUCAAGCAAUAUCUGAUGCUCAUAAAGAAUUAUUAUUAUCAUCAUCUGGUUAUUCCCAGAACCAUCCUACCGAUCUGCACUGCAUCACAUCCAGCAUUUAUUGUUCAUGAGCAUUUCCCUUUGGAGGACGUCUCUCUCUCUCUCUCUCUCUCUCUCCGGCACAAUUCACCGGUCCUCUCUUAUCUCACCCUCGCUGUCAUUCUCCAGGUUGGUGUGAUUCACACUUUAUGCAUGUGACUGUUAAGGUUUGUUUAUUUGCCACAGCAGUUUUGUCUCAGAUAAAGAUGUUAGUUGAAUCAAGAGAAAUAAAUAAUAAAUAAACGGAGAAAAUAAACCCGGGGUCUGGCUCUCAGGUGUGUUUGAUGAUUUGUCAGUAUUGAACGUGUGGUGAGGUUUGUAAAAAUCAAUCUUGUACUAGUGUUUCAUGCAAACCUGGCUUUUACAGAUCUAUAGUGCAAUGACACGAAUCGAUUAAUCGGCCUUUCUAUCUGUUAAUGCGAGGCUGCAGGUGAGUGCGUCGCUUCUAUUGAGUUUGUUUUUUUUUUUUCCCUGAACCUUUGCUUGUUUUUUCCGUCAAGAUCUGGCAACACUAAUAAGCGCCUCACAGGGAUUUUAACAAGUGUUGUGGCUUUACUGUUGUGCUUCACUGUCUCGGCUGAAUCACAGUCUACUAGAAAAAUAAUUUUAAUUGUUUUGGAGACAGAAAAGAAAGUUUGAAGAAACUGGAACUACCGGCGCUGUGCGGGGCUAACAGCUAGCGGCGUCCCCGCUAGCUUGGGUGCUGUUUUGCAAAAUGAUACGGACGGCGAAGAUCGGGAAUGAACGGCGUCCUUUAAAAAAGAUCCACGUUUUCCCUUGGCAUAUUUGGAUUUUUUUUUUUUUUUAUUGUGGGAUUUAGUUAACAAGACAACACGGUUUUUGGUGUGGAACGGACACUUUUGAGAAGAACGCGCAAAACCGGAUGUUAAAGGUCAACACACCUGCGGAAAGAGUAUUAGACGAUAGAAGAAGACGGAAGAACGACGUUUGUUCUAUGACGGAUUUCUGAACAACGUGCAAACACCUCCAUUGACAAGGAGCCUUUCAAUCAACUGAUGCAAGAAGGACGACUGUUUGGUCAACGAAAACAGACAUGGACUAACAUUUACACGUGACAGUUACAGUUGCCCUCAUCCAAAGGUUGCCAUGAUAUAAGACCUGAACCUCUUCUGUGCUUCUCAUCUCAUACACAGAACUUCAGGCUGUGACAUUUCCAGGAUGGCCUUGAGGUCAGAGGCUGGUGGUGAAGAAAGGAAAACAAAGGAAAGAAAAAUCAGCUUGCAGAAG
Long non-coding RNA from Cynoglossus semilaevis (tongue sole), 2354 nucleotides. RefSeq lists it as uncharacterized. The transcript has 4 exons. NCBI's taxonomy places the organism in Eukaryota, Metazoa, Chordata, Actinopteri, Pleuronectiformes, Cynoglossidae. The record is from RefSeq and is a predicted model, not a curated record.